AGGGCGUUUGGUGGAUGCCUUGGCAGUAAGAGGCGAUGAAGGACGUGAUACUCUGCGAUAAGCUUUGGGAAGUCGAGAAUAGACGCUAUACCCAAAGAUCUCCGAAUGGGGCAACCCAACUGAUACUUUGUUAUUGUUACACUUUUGUGUAAUCAAUAAUGGGGUAAAACAGUUAUUAAUUACCUGAAUACAUAGGGUUUUUAAAGCAAACCUGGGGAACUGAAACAUCUAAGUACCCAGAGGAAAGGAAAUCAAUAGAUACUCCCGUAGUAGUGGCGAGCGAACCGGGACCAGCCGAGCGAUGAAUGUGACUAGAACCAGUUGGAAAGCUGGGCAAUAUGGGUGACAGCCCCGUAUAGGAAGCAUGAUUUGACGUAUUAAGUAGGGCGGAACACGUGAAAUUCUGUCUGAACAUGGGGGGACCACCCUCUAAGGCUAAGUACUCCUUACUGACCGAUAGCGAACCAGUACCGUGAGGGAAAGGUGAAAAGCACCCCGACGAGGGGAGUGAAACAGUUUCUGAAACCGGACGCCUACAAUCAGUCGGAGGCCCCUUGAGGGCUGACGGCGUACCUUUUGUAUAAUGGGUCAUCGACUUAGUGUAUCUAGCAAGCUUAAGCCGUUAGGUGUAGGCGCAGCGAAAGCGAGUCUUAAUAGGGCGAUUGAGUUAGAUGCAUUAGACCCGAAACCGAGUGAUCUAGGCAUGGCCAGGUUGAAGGUAAGGUAACACUUACUGGAGGACCGAACCCACAUCUGUUGAAAAAGAUCGGGAUGAGUUGUGCCUAGGGGUGAAAGGCCAAUCAAACUCGGAGAUAGCUGGUUCUCCGCGAAAUCUAUUUAGGUAGAGCGUCAUCCGAAUACCCCGGGGGGUAGAGCACUGGAUGGGUAAUGGGGCCUCACCGGCUUACUGAUCCUAACCAAACUCCGAAUACCCGGGAGUAAUAGAUGGCAGACACACUGCGGGUGCUAACGCCCGUAGUGAAAAGGGAAACAACCCUGACCGACAGUUAAGGCCCCUAAUUCAUGGCUAAGUGGAAAAGCAGGUGAGACGACCAUAACAACCAGGAAGUUGGCUUAGAAGCAGCCAUCUUUUAAAGAUAGCGUAACAGCUCACUGGUCUAAUUAAGUUGUCUUGCGGCGAAAAUGUAACGGGGCUCAAGCCAUGAGCCGAAACUUCGGAUGCAUUUAUGCAUGGUAGCGGAGCGUAGUGUGACAUAGUUCCAUGCGUCUUUAACUUCCUUCGGGGAGUAUUGGACGCAAGGAGCUUUCUGUGAAGCCGGCCUGUGAGGGAUCCGGUGGAGAGAUCACUAGUGAGAAUGAUGACAUGAGUAACGACAAAGGGGGUGAGAGACCCCCUCGCCGAAAAUCCAAGGGUUCCUGCUUAAAGCUAAUCUGAGCAGGGUGAGCCGGCCCCUAAGCCGAGGGCGAAAGCCGUAGGCGAUGGGAACCAGGUUAAUAUUCCUGGGCCAGGAGGAAGUGACGGAUCAUGAAGAUUGUUGGAUCAGGCGUAGUUGCCCCAGCAGUUAAUUGGUUCCUGGAAAUAGCCCUCCAUCAGACCGUACCCUAAACCGACACAGGUGGAUAGGUAGAGUAUACCAAGGCGCUUGAGAGAACUAUGUUGAAGGAACUCGGCAAAAUACCUCCGUAAGUUCGCGAGAAGGAGGCCCGGUUUCUAGGCAACUGGAAGCUGGGGGCACAAACCAGGGGGUGGCGACUGUUUACUAAAAACACAGGGCUCUGCGAAGUCGUAAGACGACGUAUAGGGUCUGACGCCUGCCCGGUGCUGGAAGGUUAAGAGGAGGUGUGCAAGCACUGAAUUGAAGCCCCAGUAAACGGCGGCCGUAACUAUAACGGUCCUAAGGUAGCGAAAUUCCUUGUCGGGUAAGUUCCGACCUGCACGAAUGGCGUAACGACUUCCCCGCUGUCUCCAACAUAGACUCAGUGAAAUUGAAUUGCCUGUCAAGAUGCAGGCUUCCCGCGGUUAGACGGAAAGACCCCGUGCACCUUUACUACAACUUUACACUGAUAACAGGCACAAUAUGUGCAGAAUAGGUGGUAGGCUUUGAAGCAGGGACGCCAGUCCUUGUGGAGCCUCCUUUGAGAUACCACCCUUAUUUUUCUUGUUAUCUAACUGCGGUCCGUUAUCCGGAUCCAGGACCCUGUAUGGUGGGUAGUUUGACUGGGGCGGUCGCCUCCCAAAUAGUAACGGAGGCGUGCGAAGGUAGGCUCAGAACGGUCAGAAAUCGUUCGUAGAGUGCAAUGGCAUAAGCCUGCCUGACUGUGAGACUGACAAGUCGAGCAGAGACGAAAGUCGGUCAUAGUGAUCCGGUGGUCCCGCGUGGAAGGGCCAUCGCUCAACGGAUAAAAGGUACGCCGGGGAUAACAGGCUGAUACUGCCCAAGAGUCCAUAUCGACGGCAGUGUUUGGCACCUCGAUGUCGGCUCAUCUCAUCCUGGGGCUGGAGCAGGUCCCAAGGGUACGGCUGUUCGCCGUUUAAAGAGGUACGUGAGCUGGGUUUAGAACGUCGUGAGACAGUUCGGUCCCUAUCUGCCGUGGGUGUAGGAUACUUGAGAGGAGUUGCCCCUAGUACGAGAGGACCGGGGUGAACGAUCCACUGGUGGACCAGUUGUCGACUACGGCAGUGCUGGGUAGCUAUGAUCGGACAGGAUAACCGCUGAAGGCAUCUAAGCGGGAAGCCCCCCCAGAAACAAGGUCUCCCUUGA
RNAcentral lists this ribosomal RNA (2723 nucleotides) under seawater metagenome. RNAcentral describes it as "bacterial LSU rRNA". It matches the Rfam family "Bacterial large subunit ribosomal RNA". The record is from RNAcentral.